Non-coding RNA from Macadamia integrifolia, 74 nucleotides. NCBI's taxonomy places the organism in Eukaryota, Viridiplantae, Streptophyta, Magnoliopsida, Proteales, Proteaceae. The record is from the annotation of a RefSeq genome assembly.
GCUAGAGUAGCUCAGCUGGUUAGAGCAUCUGGCUAUUAACCAGGAGGUCGAAGCUUGAAGUCCUUCCUCUAGCG